UCAAUAGUGAAAACUAACUGUUUAACUGUGCAUGCGAGGAUUGAGAACAAAUCCUGAUUAGGAGUUACAGCCUGGAGAAUGAGAAAGCGCAGGAGUCAAGUGUUGAAAAUUUUUACUCAUUCUCUUAACUGCCAAACAAAUAGAAACACUGCGUGUAGUGAUUAAAACCAAGUAUCUGAUUCAUCUCUAGGUGGUCAGUAGCACUAUUAAGCCCAUCAUGGGGAAUUGCCAAGACGAUGCUGAGCAGACUGUUUUGGUCACCAUCUUUUGGUUCUCUGUAGGACUGUUGUGUAUUUAUGAAAGAGAAGUGUUCCCUGCAAAUAACAGCACCUACAGCAAGGGUGUUCUGUUAACUACUUCCACAGCCACUUAGCCUCAUUUGUUGGCUGGCAAAAAAAGCGCAUUCUCUGACUUGUGUAGAGAAACUGAGGUUAAAUAUUAAUAAGACAUCAAGUUUGAGCCCAGAGAGUUUGUAAAACAUACAGAAAAUGCUUUUGGGAGAGCUCAGAAGAUUUCAUAAUGUGAGUUGAAGGGGUGAGAGAGAAAAAAAUAGAUACGUGGCUUCCCUUCUCCAGGUACAAAGACAUACUUCAUAAAUGUGCUCCCUGUUUGUUGAGGUAGGUGCAUAUCCCAAUGGCACUGGAGUAUUUUGUUAGGUGGCAUUAAGAGCUAUGCACAUCUAAAAUGUUCUUGUAGAUGCACUGAAUGAAAAGAAGGAGAAAUAAAUAGCUUCUCAACAGAGAGCUGCCUGAGUCCUCAUCACUUAAGCAUAGUAAUUAACUUCUUAUAUUAACUAAGGGAUGGAUUUCCUUUACUUCCUGAGGAGGAAAAAACCACCUGUCAUGGCUAAUCUUCACACUACACAAGGGCAAAAAAAGAAUAGUUCCAUUAGAAUCAGUAGUCAAAAAGAUAUUUUAGUAAAAUAAAUCUGAGAACAUCCACACUGCCUACUGUAUUAUAGCAUGCCAGGGGUUCUGGCGAUAAGAAUCUUCAUCUCUUGGGAAGGAAACAAUUAUGUGCAUUUAUAAAUAGUCAUAUUUCUUGCAAUUUAGGAGACAAUAAACACAUUGAAGGCUGUGACUUAAAGUAAGCAUCGGUGGUGUGUAGUGAGAGAGUCAUCGGUUGAGGACUUCAAAGAGAUUGUGGAUGCCCAGUUCAGUCCGAACUAUCUGGCUUCUUGUGGGUUCAGCUUUUGGGAAUUAGAAACCAGAGGGGCUUGCUUGAAACGCCUGAUCUAUGUUUUCAUCUAUCUAUCUUUCUUUACUGUCAUGUCACGAAGAAACUGAAACAGAGAAGUAGCAAUAAUUCUCUAAUACCCCACGUCCCGGUGCUGAACAGUGCAUGGUGUGUCACACACCCACCUGACCCAAACCAGUGAUUCCUUUCUUGUCAUUCAAAGCAAAAUGAACCUAUGGACGUAGGGAAAAGGGAGACGCUUUUUAGUUGUAAAUGGGUGCUACUUCCAGUGGAUAGAAAUCAUGUGUAAUGUCUUGUUACAACAUUUUAGCAGCAGAUUCUGUGCUGCGAAAGAACAGGGAGGUAGCAUGAAAGCCUGCAGUGGUCAGAGGACUUUUCGUAGCGAAUUUAUCAUCGCAUUUCUUGUAGCACAUUUUCAAGCAUGAAACUGGUCUGUGAAUCUGUGCUGAAUAGUAAAUAACAAGGAUCUGGAGAACUCAGUGGAAAAGCAGUAAUAAAGAUGAAUGAUAAUGCACCAAAACCAUAAGUAUGAUACCAGAACUCGCAAAAAACAUAAAUGCAUCAAGUCAGGCUGAUGAGAGAGAAACUUUCAAGGAUCUCUUCUAUUUCAACGGGUUUUUGGGAAAACCGUGCUUGCCAGACUGCAGGGACUAAGGUUCAAAGUUCUUACAGGAGUGCAGCAUCUGUAAUGCUUCUGCUAUUUUUGCAUAGAGUUCUGUGCAAAACUAAUUGGGCCAUCCAAUAUAGAAAUGCUUAUUCUGGAAAGAACUCAAGGGAGUAUGCAAAAUGUAGGUUUCUUGGGGGGAAGAAAAUAAAGGUGUUCUCUUCUUUGACUUAGGAUAGCAAUUAAAUUCGCAGCAAACAUGAAAACAUCUGCCAUGCAUCUGAGGCAAAGAUGGGGUCUGUAGUGCUUGUCAGAAUUUCAUUCUUUACACGCUGGGGCUUUUAUUAAGUUUUAUUUCUUUUUUUCCCCUUGGCUGGCUGAAGUGAUACACAUGUCUUCCUGUAAAUACAGUCCUCAUGCAGUGAUGGACUCUGGAGAUACGCUGAAAAACCAAGGACCAUAGGAUCAUAUCUAGGCCAAAACUAUUCUUACUAUUGGAAACAUCUUUUGUUUUGAUGUGCUUUAGUUCUUGAACCCUAUAAAGCAUGUGGUGGUUUCUCUCUUCACCAGGAAGUGUAAUAGCAGAACUCUGUUUAGAAAUUCCAAGAGACGCAAUAAAACUUAUUUUGUACUGCUGCCAAAGUACUGGCUGAGUAUUUGGUACAUGUUGCCGCUGUGAAUGAAGGCAAGCUGCUCUCUUCAAGGAGCUUAUAGUGUCGUUGGUCAAAGAUGUGUUAUCAGAGAGGAUAAGGUCAGUCAGCAGAGUGUGUUUUUCUCUUUGUCCUUCACUCUUGAUGUCAUGAGGUUGCUUUUUGCUUGUUUGGUUAUAUUCUCUUUUAAAUGGCUUACCAGAAUUUAGCAAAGGAACUAAACAGGGAAGAGCUUCCUGUUACAGGUUUGGGUGUAAUAGAAAGUGGCUGCAGCAUUGAUUCUCAAUUGCUGCAUUUUAGUGCCUCAGACAUGUAGGUCUAUGGAAUAACUUCAUGGUUCAGGCACAGAGCUAAAUAUCUAAACUUGUUUUGUCUUUGGACAUGGUUAUUAUUUUAAGACAAGGCAAAUCAAACUGGUCUGGCUUUUGUGCAAGCCUGAAAGGUGUCUGCGUGCAAGGUACGAAUGUGCCUUGUUAGGCUAAAAUCUUCCUUAUUUUGGUGGCAGGAGUCUCUCAGCUCAAAAAUCUAAUAAAUUCAGCACUGACCUACUAUGAAAGUGUGUGAUUUAAAAAAUCUCCCUUUACAAUUAUUGGAACUAUUUGUAGACAAAUAUAUAAGGAAUGUAUCCAAAACUAGUUCUUAAUGCUCAGAACGUAAUCAGAAUGUAUUUUAGUGAUGUGAGCAUCUUUAUUAUUAUCCCGUUUGUAAACAUAAGUUCUAAUAAAAUUAACUGUUCAAAACAAAA
RNAcentral lists this long non-coding RNA (3196 nucleotides) under Strigops habroptila (Kakapo). Its description in RNAcentral is "lncRNA (ENSSHBG00005006638.1)". Lineage: Eukaryota; Metazoa; Chordata; Aves; Psittaciformes; Psittacidae. The record is from RNAcentral.